GGGGGCCAUGGUUGGAGAUUCGAGUCCACAGGCCUGAGACUCCAUGUGUGAAAGUGAUUUUAGGAGAAGACUAAGUAUCCAGGGAUAGCAUCAUCAGUUCGUCUAAGCUAGAUACCUUGGACCUCACAUCACUUGCAGGUAUACAGAGGGAAAACCAAAACUGAGAGACUGCCAUUCCACCUGUGGAAAGGAGCCUGCUGCUUUGAGACUGUAAUGGCCACUCACAGAAGCUUUGUGUCUCUAAGCUGCCAGUGGUGGGUGUGAAGUACAGUACUGCCUGUGGUAUGAAGGGAAUCAACAGGAUGUGCUCUGAAGAGAGAAAAAAUCUGUAAGUAAAGUUUGAGGAUCACAGUGACACAGACACUUCCUUCACCCCUGAUUGUUAUCAUCAUAAAACUUCUACAAACUUGCCUAAUUAUUGCUUAUUGUUGUCAAAUCAAAAAUCAUAUCUUUAUUGUUAUGGUCAUUCAACCAGCAAAGCUUGUUGUUGUAUACACUUCCUCCCCUUAAAAACAAUCCACAGCAGGUUCCAACAAAUACAUACAUUUAAAAAAACUCACAAACACACACCAAAAUGACUGUCAAUACAACACAUCUAGCAGGGGAAAAAGAAGAAGGAGCAAAAAUAAAACAGACCAGAAGAAGAAUAUAGCAACCGUUUGCUGAAAAACCCAGGUCUUAACCUGGGAUCUGAAGGCCCAGAGUGUUGUGUCUAAUCCACACUAGGCAAUAUACAUAGGGAAAGGAAAACAAGUUCCUGCCCACCAGCUCACAACAAUCUAAGUAAGGACACUAAACAAGAGGAAGAUAAUGGAAUUUAUGAUUAAUUUAAUGCCCACAGAAUCUGCUUGCUACGAUGCUGGGACGAAUGUUGCCAUUACAGUGGAGGGAAAUGUAGGCUAAAAGGCAAGUGGCCUGGUUUCAGACUAGCCAGAGGUUUUCUUGAGAGCCCUGGGAUUUUGUUUUUUAAUUCAAAGGGGUCGUCUCACUAGCAGGGAGUGCAAAAGCAAGCCAUCUCAAGAGAGGGAGGAGCUGCUCUAUUAAUUUCCCUGGAGGCCAAUGGGGAAAGGGCCCAAGUACACUGCUCUCAGCUGCCUUUAACUCAAGAGAUCAUGGUACUGUUGUGGUGAUGUAGGAACACAAAUCAGAAACACAAAUGCCACUUGGCCCAAUUUAAUUGACUUUAGGAGCUUGUUGUUGUUGUUGUUGUAGCAGUAGCAGCAGCAGGAUGAUGAUGAUGAGCAGGACGACUGACUCUUUUUAAAAAGUGAGCUUGUGGCUAAGAGAGACUAUUGCUCUCUUUGAGCCAGUAUGUCUACUCUGACUGACAGUGGCUCUUCAUAGGCAGUCCUCCUUUCCCCAGCCCUAUCUGAGACUUUUGUGUGUUUUGUUUAAGACUCCAAGGUCUAAACCUAGGCUUUUCUACUGUGCCACCAAAAAUU
Long non-coding RNA from Hemicordylus capensis (graceful crag lizard), 1442 nucleotides. RefSeq lists it as uncharacterized. The transcript is spliced from 3 exons. Lineage: Eukaryota; Metazoa; Chordata; Lepidosauria; Squamata; Cordylidae. The record is from RefSeq and is a predicted model, not a curated record.